RNAcentral lists this transfer RNA (80 nucleotides) under Acidobacteriota bacterium. RNAcentral's name for it is "Acidobacteria bacterium (sediment metagenome) tRNA-Arg". It matches the Rfam family "tRNA", at positions 15 to 71 of the family's 71-position model. From Rfam's summary of the family: Transfer RNA (tRNA) molecules are approximately 80 nucleotides in length. Their secondary structure includes four short double-helical elements and three loops (D, anti-codon, and T loops). Further hydrogen bonds mediate the characteristic L-shaped molecular structure. tRNAs have two regions of fundamental functional importance: the anti-codon, which is responsible for specific mRNA codon recognition, and the 3' end, to which the tRNAs corresponding amino acid is attached (by aminoacyl-tRNA synthetases). tRNAs cope with the degeneracy of the genetic code in two manners: having more than one tRNA (with a specific anti-codon) for a particular amino acid; and 'wobble' base-pairing, i.e. permitting non-standard base-pairing at the 3rd anti-codon position. The record is from RNAcentral. Lineage: Bacteria; Pseudomonadati; Acidobacteriota.
GCCUUGUCCAUCUGCUGGAAAUGCCGAGCGUCUGCCUUCUAAGCAGAGGGUCGCAGGUUCGAAUCCUGCCGGGCGCGCCA